GAUGAACGCUGGCGGCGUGCUUAACACAUGCAAGUCGAACGGAAAGGCCCAAGCUUGCUUGGGUACUCGAGUGGCGAACGGGUGAGUAACACGUGGGUGAUCUGCCCUGCACUUCGGGAUAAGCCUGGGAAACUGGGUCUAAUACUGGAUAGGACCACUUCUUGGAUGUUGUGGUGGAAAGUUUUUUCGGUGUGGGAUGAGCUCGCGGCCUAUCAGCUUGUUGGUGGGUAAUGGCCUACCAAGGCGUCGACGGGUAGCCGGCCUGGGAGGGUGUACGGCCACAAUGGGACUGGGAUACGGCCCAGACUCCUACGGGGGGCAGCAGUGGGGAAUAUUGCACAAUGGGCGCGAGCCUGAUGCAGCGACGCCGCGGGGGGGAUGACGGCCUUCGGGUUGUAAACUCCUUUCGCUAGGGACGAAGCGUUUUGUGACGGUACCUGGAGAAGAAGCACCGGCUAACUACGUG
This 466-nucleotide ribosomal RNA is filed under the name uncultured bacterium. Its description in RNAcentral is "partial 16S ribosomal RNA". It matches the Rfam family "Bacterial small subunit ribosomal RNA", at positions 28 to 507 of the family's 1533-position model. The record is from RNAcentral.